CAUUAUUUGAUCAACUGACAAAGCAAAGCUGCGUCAUAAAAUACGGCUUAAGGAUCUGGGCGAGAGAUCAAGGACUCGCUGGAAACACCACUGCGACUUCUCUCUCCAGCCUUGGAGUUCCGUGUCCGUACCUGAACUACAACAACCCUCCCUUGAUCAGUGGUUUUCUACACCCAUGUGAGGAUUCUAACCAGGAAGAAUUUGCCAGGUGUUUGGUUUGCCACACACUAUGAGGAAAGGCCGCGUGCUUCAACAGCGGGUUGAUUCCCUUCCACCAGCAGAGGCUAGAAAUGAAAACCCCAGCCACCUGCGCCCAAACUUGCUCCCUUUGGACUCGCGGCAGCCUCACCACGGUCCGCGGCAGCCUGCAAAUUCGGAGACGGCCGUGCGGGGGCGCACGAGAGACGUGGCGAGUCCCUGGUCUCCGUAAUCCCAGGCUGGCGCCAGCAGGGGAACAGGAAAAAAAAGUUCUUUUAGCUGAGUCUUCAGUGGGAAACCAGAUGGUUGGGAGUCCAGACUGCAGCUGAAGUUUGCAUGACCUCCAAAGUGGGCAGAACCUCAGAAUGUUGGUGCUCCCAGCAGGCCAUGUUGUUAGCAGUACAGGACCGUAAACAUCACCCUUGCAGCUAGCUGUUGGUGGUUUGGUCCUGACUAUGACCACGUUCCACUGCCUUGAGAUCUCCACUUUUCCAUUACCUGGAUUGGAUCCGUUUGCCUGGCCCUUGACACUGAGCAGUCAGCCUCCCUCUGAAUCUUGCAAGUCCCACACCCAGGACCGCAGACCCUUCACCUCAGUACAGCCCCCUGAGCUUCGGAAUUCUGGAGAUCAUCAGCGGUUCGCUGCGCAGCGAGGACCAGGGAGGAGUGGCUCAUUUAGCAAGUCUGCUCACCCCCGCCUUCCCUCGUUCCCCACAAGGGCCCAGCACGUACCAGCCAUCAGUCUAGGGACAGUAUAGAUACAUCAGUGCACAAGAAAGGUAAGAUUCUUGUCCCGAUAGUCUAUAUCCUAGUGGGGAAGUGGAAGAGACACAUUCCAAGAAAACACGAAAUUGAGUUGAAUGGAUUCGCUGAG
This 1072-nucleotide long non-coding RNA is filed under the name Suricata suricatta (meerkat). RNAcentral's name for it is "lncRNA (ENSSSUG00005020472.1)". The record is from RNAcentral. Lineage: Eukaryota; Metazoa; Chordata; Mammalia; Carnivora; Herpestidae.